CGGGUGAGUAACGCGUGAGUAACCUGCCUUACACAAGGGGAUAGCCGUUGGAAACGACGAAUAAUACCCUAUGACAUAAACUCUUCGCAUGAGGAGCUUAUCAAAGAUUUAUCGGUGUAAGAUGGACUCGCGUCUGAUUAGCUAGUUGGUGAGGUAACGGCCCACCAAGGCGACGAUCAGUAGCCGGCUUGAGAGAGUGUACGGCCACAUUGGGACUGAGACACGGCCCAGACUCCUACGGGAGGCAGCAGUG
RNAcentral lists this ribosomal RNA (253 nucleotides) under uncultured Anaerococcus sp. RNAcentral describes it as "partial 16S ribosomal RNA". It matches the Rfam family "Bacterial small subunit ribosomal RNA", at positions 103 to 356 of the family's 1533-position model. Lineage: Bacteria; Bacillati; Bacillota; Tissierellia; Tissierellales; Peptoniphilaceae. The record is from RNAcentral.